RNAcentral lists this ribosomal RNA (514 nucleotides) under uncultured bacterium. Its description in RNAcentral is "partial 16S ribosomal RNA". It matches the Rfam family "Bacterial small subunit ribosomal RNA", at positions 899 to 1397 of the family's 1533-position model. The record is from RNAcentral.
ACUCAAAGGAAUAGACGGGGGCCUGCACAAGCGGUGGAGUAUGUGGCUUAAUUCGAUGCAACGCGAAGAACCUUACCUGGCCUUGACAUGCACGUGGUAGGACCAUGAAAGUGGGACGACCCCGCAAGGGGAGCGUGCACAGGUGCUGCAUGGCUGUCGUCAGCUCGUGUCGUGAGAUGUUGGGUUAAGUCCCGCAACGAGCGCAACCCUUGCGUCCUGUUGCCACCCUAUCGAGAGAUGGGAGCACUCUGGACGGACUGCCUCGCUUCAACGAGGAGGAAGGUGGGGAUGACGUCAAGUCAGGAUGGCCCUUACGGCCAGGGCUGCACACGUACUACAAUGCCCGGUACAAAGGGAAGCAAGACCGAGACAGAAGGUGGAGCAAAUCUCGAAAAAACCGGGCCCAGUUCAGAUUGAGGUCUGCAACUCGACCUCAUGAAGCCGGAAUCGCUAGUAAUGGCGCAUCAGCUACGGCGCCGUGAAUACGUUCCCAGGCCUUGUACACACCGCCCGU